RNAcentral lists this long non-coding RNA (1771 nucleotides) under Medicago truncatula (barrel medic). RNAcentral describes it as "lncRNA gene37827". The record is from RNAcentral. Lineage: Eukaryota; Viridiplantae; Streptophyta; Magnoliopsida; Fabales; Fabaceae.
AUAAUAACAAUGAUUAGAAAGCUAUACAAAAAGAGUUUAAUCUCCUAAAUUGGUUAUUGAUCGGAUUAAACCCUAAACCCUUCAACCUUAAUCACUCAUACCUUAUGAAUAAAAAUAUUUACAAAAAUUUCACUCCCUUACUUCCUUGUUCCUUCCAUUCUAUUCACACUGCAAGGACAGUAAAAUCUUCAAACAUUCAAAGUACCAACAAAACAAAAACAACCUCAAACCGAUGUCGCUUUUAACCAACCAAACCAAUUACCUCCAAGAAAAACCCAACAACCUCUUCACUUCACUUCACUUCAACAAAUCACAAACCCACCCAACAUCUGGACCGGGUUGACCCGACUCCAAACCCAAACCCGAAUUUCCAUUCUCAUUCUCCAAUGAAUUUUCUUUGCUUAAUUUCUCAAACAUCUUAGCCCUAAUAUCUCUUCCACUCUCAACUCUCUCCAUUAUAGGCUCCUCUUCACAACUCUGAUCCCAUAAAUCAAACCCACCAACCCGGCCUAAACCUGGUUUUUUUGUUGGUGUAUUAGGUAAACUUAAAAAACCAGACCGAAGCGGUGACCCAAAAACCGGUGAACCCGAACCAAAAACCGGUGACCCAAUUGUAACAUUUCUAUUAAUUGGCAUAGUUUUCAUCCGACCCAAUUGUAAAUUCCGUAACGACGCCACCAUCUCGCUCGCCAUCGGUGACAUCGGUGGAGAUUCUGGCGGCGUCGUUAUAGUAACCAUUUGUCGUAACGGAGAACCGUCAUACGAAUCAGGCGAAUUAACACUCCGUGAGGAAGAUGGACUCUGCUGAACGUUAAGACGAAGCUGUUCCGGCGUGUGAGCGAAGAAGCAAACACGCCGGCGACAGCUGGUUCCGUCUUUACACGGCUGAGUACGGUAACGUGCAGGAUGAAGCCAACACUCGAAAACACCAUGCGCGUGUUCACACGCGUCACCUUUCUUACAGUUACCUUUACGAAAAUCAGGACACGCCGUACCGGAGUAAUGAAACUUCCUCGGAUCACGGCGGCGUGCUUUCUCGCCGGGAUGUGCGUAUGGACACUCCGUCCAGUCAUGUGAUCUUCCACGUGCGCAUCUUCUUAUCUUGAACUCGUACAUGCGGAAAUGAUCGCAUGAAUAUGCAUCCACCGUUGAAUCCGCCGCCGCCGUCGCCGGAGAUUCUAAAUCAGAAUCGUUGAACUCGUUUGACGGAAGAUAACGUUGAAGCGCUGCAAGUGCUUCUCGGAGAUAGUAAUCACCGGAAGAGUAAUCACCGGUGGAAAAAUCUCCGGCAGUGUAAUCUCCGGCGCCGGUGAAAUCACCGGCAAUGUUAUUGUUAUCAUAACCGAAACAAGAAGAAAGAAUCUCAGCUGUUGGAUCAUCAUGAUUCGGCCAAGGAGGAACAUGAACCGUUGGAUUAGCUCUCAGCAUCAUUUUGUGGAUUUUGUGUUGUGAAGUGUUUUCGGUUUUAUCUAUAGAUGUUUACAAAACAGAGACAAGGUUAGGUUGCUUUAUAAACUAAAAUUUAACCGUGGUUAAGUUGAAAUUUAACUGUGGUUACUUUUGAUUUUUUUUUUUUUAACUGCGGUUAAAGUGGAGUGGGAGAUUUUAUCAUCACCGUACAUGUAAUAGGGUUUUUUCUGACAGGUGGGUUUAUCGUUUGCCACGUGUGUUGAUUUUGGAUUUGUUUGACACGUGGCAUUUGGUGAUUGUGUUGUUUGGAUUUUAUUUUAUUUUGGUUCUUUUGAUGGCCCUAGUCUUGUGAAAACGGUAG